Molecule: small RNA, 84 nt
Filed under: Arabidopsis thaliana (thale cress)
Lineage: Eukaryota; Viridiplantae; Streptophyta; Magnoliopsida; Brassicales; Brassicaceae
Description: ATSL282140
Source: RNAcentral
UUAUACAAUAUUGGAGGUCUAUGAUCAUUCUUCUCUCUUUACGUCCUCGUUGAUCAGGUGAUUGUGGGGCUUUUAUAUGUAUAU